CUGCUGCAGGCCCACAGAGAGGAAUGAACAACAAUACCAAGAUAAGAAAGAGGAAAAAACUGAUCAAGAAGUGGAAUUCCUAAGCUGUCCAGUUUCAGGGCUUCUCUUUCUUGGCAGGGAGCGUGCGAAUCGGUAGACUAGCUCUGCUCGGUUCAACCCUCUGCCAAAGGAGAGUUGCCCUGUAGCAGGACCCAGCUUAAGGUUCAUGAUUCUAGGGACCAUUGAUGAUUGUUUCAAGCUUUCAUCUACACCGAAAUUUAGUGUUAUGCCUGCCAAUGGUGAUGCAAAGCUCUUUGCUGAAUAUCUGGGUACUACAUCCUUUUGGGUUACUGCUACCUUUCUACUGCUACGUUGUAAGAAGAGCUUUACUAUAUGGAUGAAGAGUGGUCAUCAGCAGCUCAGUGCCAUCUAUAUCUGCUAAUCUCUGAAUUUUUGUUCGUGAAAUCAUGUAUGCUGAAUCAGGUACAUGUAUAGUUCAGUAAUCUCAUUGGAAUCUUUCCCCAAGACAUUGCCUGGAACCUGAAAUUACAAUAUCUUAACAGCAGUCACUGCUUAGUAUUGGAUCAUCCAUUGGUCAUGAUUCAGUGUCAAGAUCUAACAUGGUUACUUAAUUGGCUACCCAAUUACCCAUAAUCAUUGAUUUGGCAAUGUUGGCUUGUCAAUUUAGCAUGACCAUAUGAGUAUCAAAACUCUACAUUCUUGUUGCAGUUUUACCAGAAUUUGUAACCAGAUUGCUUGCUAAGGAGAUGAUGCGCCGAUGGAAUGAGUUCGUUUCCUUUUCAGAA
This is a long non-coding RNA of Panicum virgatum (switchgrass), 785 nucleotides long. RefSeq lists it as uncharacterized. Lineage: Eukaryota; Viridiplantae; Streptophyta; Magnoliopsida; Poales; Poaceae. The transcript has 2 exons. The record is from RefSeq and is a predicted model, not a curated record.